GACGAACGCUGGCGGCGUGCUUAACACAUGCAAGUCGAACGGAAAGGCCCUGCUUUUGUGGGGUGCUCGAGUGGCGAACGGGUGAGUAACACGUGAGUAACCUGCCCUUGACUUUGGGAUAACUUCAGGAAACUGGGGCUAAUACCGGAUAGGAGCUCCUGCUGCAUGGUGGGGGUUGGAAAGUUUCGGCGGUUGGGGAUGGACUCGCGGCUUAUCAGCUUGUUGGUGGGGUAGUGGCUUACCAAGGCUUUGACGGGUAGCCGGCCUGAGAGGGUGACCGGCCACAUUGGGACUGAGAGACGGACCAGACUCCUACGGGAGGCAGCAGUGGGGAAUAUUGCACAGUGGGCGGAAGCCUGAUGCAGCAACGCCGCGUGCGGGAUGACGGCCUUCGGGUUGUAAACCGCUUUCGCCUGUGACGAAGCGUGAGUGACGGUAAUGGGUAAAGAAGCACCGGCUAACUACGUG
Molecule: ribosomal RNA, 468 nt
Filed under: uncultured bacterium
Lineage: Bacteria
Description: partial 16S ribosomal RNA
Rfam family: Bacterial small subunit ribosomal RNA
Source: RNAcentral